UCAAGACGGGGAAUGAGAACAACACGGUCAAAAUAGUAAUUCAGGCCCCUGCCUCCUCCUCUGGUGAAUGUGUGGAACCUGAAACCAAGCACAGACGAAACACUCCACAAAUAAUUGUUCAGAUUCGAGCCAACAUGUGAA
Long non-coding RNA from Eurytemora carolleeae, 141 nucleotides. RefSeq lists it as uncharacterized. The record is from RefSeq and is a predicted model, not a curated record. The transcript is spliced from 3 exons. Lineage: Eukaryota; Metazoa; Arthropoda; Copepoda; Calanoida; Temoridae.